UGCCAGACUCCUACGGGAGGCAGCAGCGGGGAAUAUUGCACAAUGGGGGAAACCCUGAUGCAGCGACGCCGCGUGAGUGAAGAAGUAUUUCGGUAUGUAAAGCUCUAUCAGCAGGGAAGAAAAUGACGGUACCUGACUAAGAAGCCCCGGCUAACUACGUGCCAGCAGCCGCGGUAAUACGUAGGGGGCAAGCGUCAUCCGGAUUUACUGGGUGUAAAGGGAGCGUAGACGGCAUGGCAAGUCAGAUGUGAAAGCCCGGGGCUCAACCCCGGGACUGCAUUUGAAACUGUCAGGCUGGAGUGCAGGAGAGGUAAGUGGAAUUCCUAGUGUAGCGGUGAAAUGCGUAGAUAUUAGGAGGAACACCAGUGGAGAAGGCGGCUUACUGGACUGUAACUGACGUUGAGGCUCGAAAGCGUGGGGAGCAAACAGGAUUAGAUACCCCUGUAGC
Molecule: ribosomal RNA, 448 nt
Filed under: uncultured bacterium
Lineage: Bacteria
Description: bacterial SSU rRNA
Rfam family: Bacterial small subunit ribosomal RNA
Source: RNAcentral